RNAcentral lists this ribosomal RNA (501 nucleotides) under uncultured bacterium. Its description in RNAcentral is "partial 16S ribosomal RNA". It matches the Rfam family "Bacterial small subunit ribosomal RNA", at positions 30 to 523 of the family's 1533-position model. The record is from RNAcentral.
AUUGAACGCUUGCGGCAGGCUUAACACAUGCAAGUCGAGCGGGGGAAGGUAGCUUGCUACCGGACCUAGCGGCGGACGGGCGAGUAAUGCUUAGGAAUCUGCCUAUUAGUGGGGGACAACAUCUCGAAAGGGAUGCUAAUACCGCAUACGUCCUACGGGAGAAAGCAGGGGAUCUUCGGACCUUGCGCUAAUAGAUGAGCCUAGGUCAGAUUAGCUCGUUGGUGGGGUAAAUGCCUACCAAGGCGACGAUCUGUAGAGGGCCUGAGAGGAUGAUCCGCCACACUGGGACUGAGACACGGCCCAGACUCCUACGGGAGGCAGCAGUGGGGAAUAUUGGUCAAUGGGGGUAACCCUGAUCCAGCCAUGCCGCGUGUGUGAAGAAGGCCUUAUGGUUGUAAAGCACUUUAAGCGAGGAGGAGGCUACUUUAGUUAAUACCUAGAGAUAGUGGACGUUACUCGCAGAAUAAGCACCGGCUAACUCUGUGCCAGCCGCCGCAGUAA